Molecule: unclassified non-coding RNA, 235 nt
Filed under: uncultured fungus
Lineage: Eukaryota; Fungi
Description: sequence contains ITS1, 5.8S rRNA gene
Source: RNAcentral
UUGAAUAUACAUGAUGGGUUGUAGCUGGCUCUACGGAGCAUGUGCACGCUUGUCUUGAUUUUAUUCGUCCACCUGUGCACCUUUUGUAGUCUUGGGGAAGGCUUGACUGUCGGAAUUUGUUUUCCGGAUGUGAGGAAUGCUAGCGCUUUUCUCUAUUGACGGUCUGCCUCAAGUGCUAUGUAUUCAUAUACCACAUCGUAUGUUGUAGAAUGUGAUCAAUGGGAAUAAUCAUAUA